CCUACGGGAGGCAGCAGUGGGGAAUAUUGCACAAUGGGGGGAACCCUGAUCCAGCGACGCCGCGUGAGUGAAGAAGUAUCUCGGUAUGUAAAGCUCUAUCAGCAGGGAAGAAAGAAAUGACGGUACCUGACUAAGAAGCCCCGGCUAACUACGUGCCAGCAGCCGCGGUAAUACGUAGGGGGCAAGCGUUCUCCGGAUUUACUGGGUGUAAAGGGAGCGUAGACGGCUGAGCAAGUCUGAAGUGAAAGGCGGGGGCCCAACCCCCGGACUGCUGUGGAAACUGUAUAGCUAGAGUGCAGGAGAGGUAAGUGGAAUUCCUAGUGUAGCGGUGAAAUGCAUAGAUAUUAGGAGGAACACCAGUGGCGAAGGCGGCUUACUGGACUGUAACUGACGUUGAGGCUCGAAAGCGUGGGGAGCAAACAGGAUUAGAUACCCCGGUAGUC
This 443-nucleotide ribosomal RNA is filed under the name uncultured bacterium. RNAcentral describes it as "partial 16S ribosomal RNA". It matches the Rfam family "Bacterial small subunit ribosomal RNA", at positions 338 to 795 of the family's 1533-position model. The record is from RNAcentral.